GUGGGGAAUAUUGGACAAUGGGCGAAAGCCUGAUCCAGCCAUGCCGCGUGUGUGAAGAAGGUCUUCGGAUUGUAAAGCACUUUAAGUUGGGAGGAAGGGCAGUAAGUUAAUACCUUGCUGUUUUGACGUUACCGACAGAAUAAGCACCGGCUAACUUCGUGCCAGCAGCCGCGGUAAUACGAAGGGUGCAAGCGUUAAUCGGAAUUACUGGGCGUAAAGCGCGCGUAGGUGGUUUUGUAAGUUGGAGGUGAAAUCCCCGGGCUCAACCUGGGAACUGCCUCCAAAACUGCAUGACUAGAGUACGGUAGAGGGUAGUGGAAUUUCCUGUGUAGCGGUGAAAUGCGUAGAUAUAGGAAGGAACACCGGUGGCGAAGGCGACUACCUGGACUGAUACUGACACUGAGGUGCGAAAGCGUGGGGAGCAAACAGGAUUAGAUACCCCAGUAGUCC
RNAcentral lists this ribosomal RNA (450 nucleotides) under uncultured bacterium. Its description in RNAcentral is "partial 16S ribosomal RNA". It matches the Rfam family "Bacterial small subunit ribosomal RNA", at positions 354 to 796 of the family's 1533-position model. The record is from RNAcentral.